UAGUAGCCCCCGCCCCCUUGGAAGACACCGAACCUCAGAUAUGUUUCGAAGUAUGUUUCGAUAUGUUUCCACACGCAUACUACGUGUGGACACCUGUCCGCCACCGUGGGCUCUCGGAGAAAUUACUGCGACGAUACAUCGGCUCAUACGAGAUUGUGCGUCGCCUUAGCGAUGUGAAUUACGAGAUCGUGCCCCUCGCUUGAGCCAAUGACGUCCCCGUUCCGAAGUUAUGCACGUAGUAGGGAUGAAGCCAUACUACGCCCGCCAGCGAAGUGCAUCAUUCAAUCCCUUCGCCGUCCUACGCAGUGUUGUGGUUAUCCUUUGCUUUCUGUGACCACAUUUGCCAUUAGAGCUAUCCUACCAAUUUAUGCGCUUUAUUGUAACCACCCGACCUCGCGACGGGACAGUCGCUUUUGAGAGGGGAGAACACACCUCCGGCCACUAGAACGAGAAUGACGAAGUGCGUAGUGGAAUGCACGCUCUUCGAGUGUCAGCCAUUAUUAAAGGAACACCGUUUUGCCAAGGCCUCGCUCGUUAACUUCGUGACAAUAUCACUGAAAAUCUCUAAAAAUCUACAGAUCAGUAGCCGUGGUACAUCAGUAGCCAGUUACGUCGCCUUCCGCGUCACAUCGCAACGUUUCUUUGGAUUAGUUCAUGGAGGAAAGAAACAAAACUCCAUGGACUAGUUAAAUGAUUAAUGCUCACAAUUAUUUUUCUUGUUGCCACUAUUUCAGAGUACACAUAACGAACCGUGUUUUCGAGUACAUGUUUUGCUAAGCCUAGACAAGUUCGCAUAAUGUUUUUUUUUUUUUUUUUUGCAUACGAAUGCUUAUGACUUGUUAUACAAUUGAACAAAUCAUAUUUCUUGUUUUUCUGAGAUGUUCUGAAAAGAACUGACGCACUGCUAUUAAUAAAAAAUUAUUUCCGUCGACAAAUUUGACACGACAAUUCCAGCAGACACUAGCGCCACGCCAUGCCGCCCUGUGAUGCCACACCGUAAUGCAAGUUGCUUCGCGCGCUUUACAGUAGGUGUUGUGUGGUUUACCUGACCCAUCUGAGCCGCGCUGGACAAGAUGCCCACUCUUCUUAGUAGUUAGAGCGUUUUAUUUACUUUUUUUUAACCACCGCGAGCUAUGACAUCCAGCGUUGUUUGCCUGGGCAUUCUCGAGACCGGUUGGAUGAAGAAACUAACGCUGCAGGCAGGGCGACAUGAAGAGUUGCUGACGGCUCUCUCAUCUCCGGCAACUAUCAACGGCAACACGUGAACGAUGUGCCACUGACGCCUUGUCUACUUGGAGAAGCCGACGUGGGACUGUCUCUACACAGACAGGCAGCGCAUUUUCCAGAUGAAAUCCCUCCUCGGUGGCAUGGCGUGCCUUUUUGCAUCUUUUUGGGUGUUCAGUGUUGAAUAGCCCAAAAAGGCACCCCGAUUGCUCGCAUUUUUCAAGCAUGCCUUUUUGGGUCUUUGCCACACGAAACCACGUGUGAAGGCAUUGGAGCUCAAAAACGUUUUCAGGGGACACGUGGCUCCUGUGGCACAGGAUGUGCAGUGUCGCACGUUGAGGUUUUAUAAAGCUUGGCUGGUUGGUUUGCAUUUAAAAUGGCAAACAGGUACUCACCACAAGACAUGAGACAGGCAUGCAACAUGCAUGUAAAUUACAAGUUAUAUGCCAUUGUAUCUCUGUCUCAAAAAGCCACAAAAGAAAUGGUAGGCACACUUGGCACUACCACCAUGCAUUCAUCCCAUUGGUCACAAUGCCACAGCAAGUAAUUUGGAUUUAUUGUUCUGUAAGGUUAAGAGAAGGGCUGCUGACAGAAAUAUCUGUUGAGCAGUCAAUCUCGAAUGCUACCAUUUCUCUUGUAAAAUUAUCAGGGGCCCUAACAGUGUUUCACACAGGCAAAACAGUACAUUUGCACUGCUGACAAUGCAAGGCAAGCUUGCUGGCUUUGUUACGUUUACUUAGUCUACCACUAAUACAUCUGUCUGACAGGCGGGUGCACUGGCUCCUGCCCUUAGUUGUGUGCUCUUUCUCCAUUCGCUGUUUCUUUAUUGUCCUUACUUGGCUUUGUUCUGUGUGUAAAAGGCAAAGCAUGGUAGUAAAUGCAUACAGUUGUCAGUCAGCACUGUGUUCAUGCUUUUGUUUUGUCUCAUUUGGUAGUACUGUUUCUUUGCUGUAAGGUGACAUGAUUAACAAGCACAAUCAGUACCGAGAUGGUUUACCUUUAACGUGAAAACGGUGCAGUGCAAACCAGGAAAAAGAGAUAGAUACACUGGCUUGAAUGGAGGCACAAAAGACCAGGAGUGCACAUUUUGAGGCACUAGUUCAUGGCAUCGUAGGUCUUGCAGGCCAUGAAAUUAGCUAAUACUUUUCUGCAUGCUCCAUUUAAUGCUCGUAAACUACAAGUGUAGUGCAUGUUCUAAGCGCUAUGUUCACACCAAUGACUGAUGUCAUUUUAAUAUGAUGUCUAACGUGUCUCCUUUCUCUGCUACCACAGUCAACCUUAUGUUUCAUUGCUUAUAUAUCUACCUUUUAUUUACUUAUUUAUUUAUGUGUAAUAUCUGCAGUGCCAUGAUGCUUAUCUUACAGCGACGCUGUUAAGGGGAGUUAGUGUUUGCGGCUAUAUUAAAUGUGAAUGCAACACGUGUUCGGAGCAUCAAAUAUACUUUGAAAUGUAAUGAUCAACGAUCAUGAAAUAAAUGUUACCGUGUAUAUCGAACCCUGCGCAAAUCACCCUCCAACAUCCGUAAGCUAGCUUUCCAAACGUUUGUUCGCCCACAGCUCGAAUUAGCCUCUCCAAUCUGGUCACCUUACCAUAAGAACCUAACCAGCUUAUUAGAGUCUAUCCAAAAUAGGGCCGCAAGGUUUAUCUCAUAACUAUACAUACAAUUACAGUAUUUCACAAAUAAAACUGGAUAUUUCCCUUCCAUCCCUCAGUAUCCGUUGUGACUUCGCUCUCUUAUCUCUGCUUCAUAAGGACGUUCAUGUGGAUAGGAAAUCUUCCUUGCGGCUUGAAUUUGCACCAUGCACAUCACGCAGGCUACAUAUUCACCUCAGCUUCACUCGGAUAUACGGAGACAUUCACGUAUUCAAUUGGCCGGCCCCGUGCCAUUUGAUUAUGGAAUGCCUUUCCUGAUUCCAUAGUCUCCGAAAAAAAUCCUGACAAAUUUCGCCAGCUUCUCAUUUCGCAUUUCAUUGCGUAGUCUCGACAAAAAUGCGUGUCCCCUUCUAAUGUUUCCUCAUGAUAUGCCUUCUGUUAGCUUUUUUGUUUAUGGGAUCACUUUGCUCUUUUUCUUGUAUUACUGUUUCUUUUUUUCUCUAAUUAGAACGUCACCAGCCCAAUAUAUUUUUAUGCAAUACUGAUGUAACCCUUCAGUUUAUUUGUCCAUUGUUAUUUUUUGUUGCUAUUUUUGUAUUAUGUAUACGACAUUGAAUUGCCUAUUCUUAUGUGUACUGUACCUUUUGUUAUAUUUGUGUAAUCAUCCAGUGUACGCAGGAAAUCAUUCAUUAUUAUGCCAAUUAAUCGUGCAUGUAUAUUAUGUACCAAUUAUGCAUGCUGUUUUCCUUUUCUUUGUGAUGCCCCCCUUACCCACUACCUACUAGCCUGAAUGCAGGCCAUCUCUAAGAACAGCCAGCCUUGACAAUGCUCGAGCUCUGCAGCAGUUUCUGUUCAAGCAAGGCUGUUAGCCAGCAACUAGACCCCUAGUUUUUUUAAAGGGUAUGAGAAGUGCCUUAUAACAGCUUUGCUGUCAGAUUGGCAUACAUCUGUGUUAUCUUUUUUUUUUACUUUUUUUUCCCGAGCUGUUAUGGAACAAAGCUUCCAAAAGUUGUCAUCUCAACUAGUCCAGAUGGUCUUUCGUAAUGCAGUCUUCAGCAUUGCCUGUUUUUUGCCUCUUAAUCGUCAAAAGUGGGCUCACAUGGUGGUUCUAGGCUCUAAGCCUUUUCACACCAGCAGCAUUAUCCAGGCGGAAUGUCGGGAAGGCAGUUUGGAUGAUCACUGACAAAAGCUGGUCAUUAUUUUGGUACUUUUGUUUAUUUUUUGCUGACUGUUUUUUUCUUUCAGCAUUAUUGCUGAUCCAUGGGCUGCAAAGUGUAGACUACAGCCUAGAGUCAAUCUGUGGAAGGAAUUGUGAUGGGUUGCUGCCAUUAAUAACACGCGCUUUUACCAACUCUUAAAAUCAAGGUACAAUAAAUGAACACUUUAGCAUCCCUUAUGGCUCUCUUGGCUACUAUGUCUGCCUUUCGGCGGUAGGGGGCAAAAAGCAAAGCUGAACUCUGCUUCAUUUAGUCCACUCUGCCAGCUUCUUACUGUAAAAGUAGCACCGUUUUGCCUCCCAGAACUGUCGUUUUCUUAAACAUUUAUUUUCAAAGUGCAAUUAGUGUGUUGGCAUCUUCCCCAACUUUUGCUGCUUUAGCUCUCGUACACUUGUCAAUAUCACUGAGAAGUGACGUCUGCUUUACUCGUUGCUUUUCCUUUUGCAGUGCCACAAUGUCUAAGUUGGCAAACUCAAAUGUCACAGAAUGCUCUGCUGUAACUGUUACUUCCAAACUAUUUCACAUUGUUUAGGCACUUGUGGCAGGUUUCAAUGUACUUUUGAUGUAUUUUAUAUGGUCUUGUGUGAACCUGCACUUGAAUGAGUUGCUUUCAAUUCAUACUGUGCGUUGUGCAAAUAACAUGGACAAAAAGGAAGAAUCGUAAAAACCAGUUGAGAGCUUGCGCUCGUGUCAUCCAUUUCUUCCUUCUUGCCUGUGUACAAUUUGCACUAGUCCACCCACUGUGUAUUUGCAUAUUCACAACAUUUAUGAUGCGGGUGAUUACAUGGUUAGUGCAAUCUAUGACAAUAGGGUUUUAUAAGUGUGCUUUAGGCCAUCUUAAAAAGUUUUGACAAGACUCCCUGUCACACCAGACUGCAUGGUAGCCCAUGCUGUUAAGGAUGUACGUUUUUGAAUGCCUGAGUUUGAUGGGAUUGCUUUCUUUAGAUGAUGUGAUCAUGUGGAUUCUAAUGGCUUCACAAUGUUCAAUAAAAUUAUUUUCUACAAAGCA
Dermacentor silvarum is the source of this 5043-nucleotide long non-coding RNA. RefSeq lists it as uncharacterized. NCBI's taxonomy places the organism in Eukaryota, Metazoa, Arthropoda, Arachnida, Ixodida, Ixodidae. The record is from RefSeq and is a predicted model, not a curated record. The transcript is spliced from 2 exons.